AUUCUUAAUGGCAAUUGUGACGCCGAGUUGCUGAUCCGUUAAUCUAUGGAAACCUACUCGAGCCUCAGAUGGACCGCCACUGUAAAAAGAUUUAUUAACAACACCCACGAUCACUAUCACAACUGCGAAUAACUGCGACAACUGUAAAUCGCCUUUAGCAUUUAUAACAUGUGAUUAUCAACGAUAGUCCACCUGAACUUUUGUCGUCGGUGGUCCAGACGAAGCUUACGUCAAGGAUCAGGAAGAUCGCGAUAAGUCCGAAGCGAAGAUCCAUCGCCGAAGAGAGCACGUGUAAAUAUGGAGUGUUCGAUGUCAAGGCAUUCAGCAAAGAUAAACAAACGCGGAACCUGUAUUAAUCUCGUAACGUCUUUGAGACGAGAUAAAAAAGGGAGAUAAGAGGAAGAGAAACGAAGGCUUAGACACUGUUCAUCUUCGAUUAGUAUCAGAUUGACCAAUUGGGAAUUUCCGGCUCUGACGCAAUCGAUAAGAAUGGAUAGGCUAGUUAAUCUAUUCCGCAAAAAUCGGUGAUAGAGACCGAGUAACAGGAAAAUGACACAUUAAUCCGAAAUACAUUGCCUGCUAAUCUCACCUUCUUCGUGUCAUUCCGCGACACUGUCGCCCAGACCGGCUCAGCCAGCGUUCCGGGCGAGACG
Non-coding RNA from Linepithema humile (Argentine ant), 653 nucleotides. Lineage: Eukaryota; Metazoa; Arthropoda; Insecta; Hymenoptera; Formicidae. The record is from RefSeq and is a predicted model, not a curated record.